UACGUAGGGGGCUAGCGUUAUCCGGAAUCAUUGGGCGUAAAGCGCGUGUAGGCGGCCCGGUAAGUCCGCUGUGAAAGUCGGGGGCUCAACCCUCGGAAGCCGGUGGAUACUGUCGGGCUCGAGUACGGAAGAGGCGAGUGGAAUUCCUGGUGUAGCGGUGAAAUGCGCAGAUAUCAGGAGGAACACCGAUGGCGAAGGCAGGUCUCUGGGCCAUAACUGACGCUGAGAAGCGAAAGCAUGGGGAGCGAACAGG
Molecule: ribosomal RNA, 253 nt
Filed under: uncultured bacterium
Lineage: Bacteria
Description: partial 16S ribosomal RNA
Rfam family: Bacterial small subunit ribosomal RNA
Source: RNAcentral